CUCCUCUUCCCGCCCAGCACGAUGUGCCUUUCUGAUCAACCAUCCAGGCUGUCUUGGGCUGGAAAUUUGUUUUACUCUGUCUUUUUGUGGGUUCUGUUGCUUUAGAAUUUGUUUAGAGCCAUUUUUUAUAGGUAUUUGAAGGGUUUGGGGGAGAGCUCAAGCUAGUCACUGCUUUCACUCUGCGAUCUUGGCUCCACCCCCUGUUUACUAGUUCUAAAUCCUAUGGUCCUUAUACUCCUAGAAUCAUCUCAAAGAGAUCUAUCUCUAACCUGUUCCUCCAGACUGACUGCCAACAAUUUGUCCUAACCCAUGCCCAGCCUGACUUUGACUGCUACCUUUUUCGUGGCCCAGACAUGCCACCUACUUUUCUGAUGAGAUUCUUAACAAAUUGCCAAGUCUGUGGUAGAGGAACCACUACCAUUGCCAAGAUGUGUAAACAAGAUCCAGUGUGCUCUGUGAAAAUGAAGUGCCUUCCUGUCUUGGGGACAACUCAGCCUACCCAGCUCUCUGGAGAAACAGAGCCAGAAAGCCCCAUCUUUGAAUUAUGGUACAGAGUACCUGCAGACUUAUUUUUAGGGUAUUCUCAAUGUGAACAGCCUUUUAGAUUCCAAGUGAAUACUGGAUUAAAAAUCUCUCACCCAUUAAAGGAUUAUAUUUUGUCUUUCUUUUUUUUAUCCCCGACGCUAGAUGAAGUGCCUGGCACACAGUGAGUGCUUAAUAAGUAUGACUGAAUGACUCUCAUGUUCAAUUGUUUAUAUAGGCACAUGAUAGGAAGAUGGCAUUAAGGAAGCAAAUGCCUAGUACCAUACACUUUAUCUUAUAUGAGGACCCAUGACUGACAUUCAGAUUGUACUUUCAGGUUUUCAAAGUGCUUACACCGAUGAAUCUCAG
RNAcentral lists this long non-coding RNA (891 nucleotides) under Phascolarctos cinereus (koala). RNAcentral describes it as "lncRNA (ENSPCIG00000026266.2)". Lineage: Eukaryota; Metazoa; Chordata; Mammalia; Diprotodontia; Phascolarctidae. The record is from RNAcentral.